GUCUACGGCCAUGCUACCCUGAACAAGACUGAUCCUGUCUGAUCUCAGAAGCUAAGCAGGGUCGGGCCUAGUUAGUACUUGGAUGGGAGACCACUUAGGAAGACUAGGUGCUGUAGGCA
Molecule: ribosomal RNA, 119 nt
Filed under: Pteropus alecto (black flying fox)
Lineage: Eukaryota; Metazoa; Chordata; Mammalia; Chiroptera; Pteropodidae
Source: RNAcentral